RNAcentral lists this ribosomal RNA (254 nucleotides) under uncultured bacterium. Its description in RNAcentral is "partial 16S ribosomal RNA". It matches the Rfam family "Bacterial small subunit ribosomal RNA", at positions 524 to 776 of the family's 1533-position model. The record is from RNAcentral.
UACGUAGGGUCCAAGCGUUGUCCGGAUUUAUUGGGCGUAAAGAGCUCGUAGGCGGUUCCGUAAGUCAGAUGUGAAAACUCAGGGCUCAACCCGGAGACGCCAUCUGAUACUGCGGUGACUGGAGUCUGGUAGGGGAACACGGAAUUCCUGGUGUAGCGGUGAAAUGCGCAGAUAUCAGGAGGAACACCGAUGGCGAAGGCAGUGUUCUGGGCCAGUACUGACGCUGAGGAGCGAAAGCGUGGGGAGCGAACAGG